This 785-nucleotide ribosomal RNA is filed under the name uncultured organism. Its description in RNAcentral is "bacterial SSU rRNA". It matches the Rfam family "Bacterial small subunit ribosomal RNA", at positions 531 to 1332 of the family's 1533-position model. The record is from RNAcentral.
GACGCGAGCGUUAUCCGGAUUUACUGGGCGUAAAGCGUCUGUAGGCGGAUGUGUAAGUUGGGCGUGAAAGCUCCGGGCUUAACCCGGAGAGGCCGUUCAAUACUGCAUAACUUGAGGGUGUCAGAGGGGAGCGGAAUUCCCGGUGUAGCGGUAAAAUGCGCAGAGAUCGGGAGGAACACCAGUGGCGGAGGCGGUUCCCGGGGGCACACCUGACGCUGAGAGACGAAAGCUAGGGGAGCGAACAGGAUUAGAGACCCUGGUAGUCCUAGCCCUAAACGAUGAAUGCUAGGUGUGGGAUCGAAUGGUUCCGUGCCGGAGCGAACGCGAUAAGCAUUCCGCCUGGGGAGUACGGCCGCAAGGUUAAAACUCAAACGAAUUGACGGGGCCCCGCACAAGCAACGGAGCGUGUGGUUUAAUUCGAUGCUACACGAAGAACCUUACCUGGGUUUGACAUGUAGGUGGUAGUGAAUCGAAAGGUGAACGACCCUUCGGGGAGCCUACACAGGUGCUGCAUGGCUGUCGUCAGCUCGUGCCGUGAGGUGUCGGGUUAAGUCCCGUAACGAGCGCAACCCUUGCUCCUAGUUACAAGUGUCUAGGGGGACUGCCGGCGGAAAGCCGGAGGAAGGUGGGGAUGACGUCAAGUCAGCAUGGCCCUUAUAUCCAGGGCUACACACACGCUACAAUGGUCGGUACAAAGGGCAGCGAAACCGCGAGGCGGAGCGAAUCCGAGAAAAGCCGAUCGUAGUUCGGAUAGCAGGCUGCAACCCGCCUGCUGAAGCUGGAGU